Molecule: unclassified non-coding RNA, 2138 nt
Filed under: Hevea brasiliensis (rubber tree)
Lineage: Eukaryota; Viridiplantae; Streptophyta; Magnoliopsida; Malpighiales; Euphorbiaceae
Source: RNAcentral
CAGCAGUCGCAGAGUUCCAAUCACAAUCUUCAUCAGCAAGAUAAGAUGGGGGGUGCUGGUAGUGUCACAUUAGAUGGUAGCAUGUCCAACUCUUUUCGAGGAAAUGAUCAGGUCUGUCUUUUUUGGUUACCUCUUAUACAUCUCUAUUGAGAUGCUCUAUGCAUGUGAUACCAUCUAACUGCUGAUUUUUCUAUAUAGAUUAACUGAACUUAAUUUUGAUAAAAUGUCUUCUUCUGUCCUCCGGUACUCAGAAAUCUAAAUUUUACAAGAGUAGUAUCCUUUUGAAAAUAUUAUGGAAAUCGUAAUAAUUUUUGUUCUGUAAUCCUUAUGUAUGCAGUAGAUAAGUCUCAAUUAUUGAAAACAAUGCAUAAAAAAGUAACUUAUAAAACCACACGCGCACUCAUGAAGGAGAUAUUUGUUUCCUAAAAUAUAUAUUUUAUCAAUGUCCACCCUCGUCCUCAAAUCUGUUGGAAGGCUUGUUGAGACUUGGUGUAUGGCAUAUGGCCAACUUGGACAGGUUUCUAACAUGGUUUUCCAUGUUCCAUUUUAAGGUUUCAAAAAACCAGACAGGAAGAAAGAGAAAACAGCCAGUAUCAUCUUCAGGACCUGCCAAUAGCUCUGGAACUGCAAAUACUGCAGGACCAUCCCCAAGUUCAGCACCGUCAACACCUUCAACUCACACCGCUGGAGAUGUGAUCUCGAUGCCUUCUUUACCACAUAGUGGUAGUUCUUCUAAGCCUCUAGUGAUUUUUGGAGCUGAUGGUGGCACAGGCACUCUUACAUCUCCAGCGAAUCAGUUGGCUGAUAUGGACCGUUUUGUGGAGGAUGGAUCCCUUGAGGAUAAUGUUGAUUCUUUUUUAUCCCAUGAUGACACUGAUCCUAGAGAUACAGUUCCUCGUAUGGAUGUCAGCAAAGGGUUUACAUUUACUGAAGUAACUUCUGUUAGAGCGAGUGCAAGCAAAGUAAUUUGUUGCCACUUCUCAUCGGAUGGGAAAUUACUUGCUAGUGGUGGCCAUGAUAAAAAGGCUGUGUUGUGGUACACGGAUAAUUUAAAGCCAAAAACUACCCUCGAAGAACAUUCAUCAUUGAUUACGGACGUGCGUUUCAGUCCAAGCAUGCCACGACUUGCAACAUCAUCAUUUGACAAAACUGUCAGGGUUUGGGACGCUGACAAUCCUAGUUACUCAUUACGCACUUUUACGGGGCAUUCUGCCUCUGUCAUGUCACUGGACUUCCACCCAAGUAAGGAUGAUCUCAUCUGCUCUUGUGACGGGGAUGGUGAAAUACGAUACUGGAGUAUUAACAAUGGUAGUUGUUCAAGAGUAUUCAAGGGUGGUACGGCCCAAAUGAGAUUCCAACCCCGUUUAGGGAGGUAUCUUGCUGCAGCUGCUGAGAAUGUUGUAUCUAUAUUGGACGUUGAGACACAAGCUUGCCGGCAUUCAUUACAGGGACAUACUAAGGCAAUCCACUCCGUGUGCUGGGAUCCUUCUGGUGAGUAUCUAGCAUCUGUCAGUGAGGACUCCGUCAGAGUCUGGAGACUUGGAUCAGGGAGUGAGGGGGACUGUGUUCAUGAAUUGAGCUGUAACGGCAACAAAUUCCAUUCCUGUGUUUUCCAUCCUACAUACCCUUCAUUACUAGUCAUUGGUUGUUACCAGUCCUUGGAGCUAUGGAACAUGACUGAGAACAAGAGUAUGACUCUGGCAGCUCAUGAAGGACUAAUUGCUGCUCUUGCUGUAUCACCUGUGACAGGGUUGGUUGCAUCUGCUAGUCAUGAUAAGUUUGUCAAGCUUUGGAAGUAAUGUGAUUGUGUCUUAAGCAUUUAAUCGUUGCCAAUUAAAUGUUUUUGGUUUGUUUGUUUUGGUAAACUUGAAAUGGCCUAUUUUGUGGUUUAUUCAAUUUCAGGUCCUUGUAACCCCAGAAACUAACCUUUUCUGUUGUUGUAUCUGUUGCAUAACGCUUCUGUUGAUUUACAGAUCACUGUUCAAGCUUCUCGGACAGUUUGAAAUGUUUUAGUUUUUAUUCAUAGGUUACCUGUGUGAUCAAUUCCAGUUCAUUUUGGCUUUCCAUUGACCAUGUUGGGCACACUUUACAUUAGUUUAUUUUGGCUUUAAAAUUCUUCCUAUGCAUUUUCUGGUGUU